UGGAUGCCCAGCCCAGCUGAGGUCUCAGAUGACUCUACUGUUCCAGCUGAGCCAAGAGAGAAUCACCCAGCUGAGCUCAGUGACUCUUCCCAGCUGUGACAGUUAAUAAUAAAGUAUUGAUUCAGACUGUGGAAGAUCAUGACUCAUGAGUGGAUCAUAAGGUCAUUCUCGUGGGCUGCAAAAAAGUAAAUCAAAUAGAAUAGAAUUUAUCAGAGCGCAUGACACAGAAGGCACUUUUAAGAUGUUUCCAUCUUUUCUUGUCUACAAGGAUUCUGAGCAAGUUUCCAGGAUGAAGUAAAAAUAUACAGAAGGAACAGAGAGACGAAAGGUCUUGAGCUGGUGUGUGUGCCCAGUAACAGCGGGUGACACAUACGUGUGCUUGCCCUGUACUUGGUCCUCUCUGUGCUAAGGACUCAACACAACCGACUCACAGAGGUGUUCUAAUGACGCCCAUUUUA
Long non-coding RNA from Physeter macrocephalus (sperm whale), 458 nucleotides. RefSeq lists it as uncharacterized. NCBI's taxonomy places the organism in Eukaryota, Metazoa, Chordata, Mammalia, Artiodactyla, Physeteridae. The transcript has 5 exons. The record is from RefSeq and is a predicted model, not a curated record.